This 253-nucleotide ribosomal RNA is filed under the name uncultured bacterium. RNAcentral describes it as "partial 16S ribosomal RNA". It matches the Rfam family "Bacterial small subunit ribosomal RNA", at positions 524 to 776 of the family's 1533-position model. The record is from RNAcentral.
UACGGGGGGGGCAAGCGUUGUUCGGAAUUAUUGGGCGUAAAGGGCGCGUAGGCGGUGCGGUAAGUCACCUGUGAAAACUCUGGGCUCAACUCAGAGCCUGCAGGCGAAACUGCCGUGCUUGAGUGUGGGAGAGGUGCGUGGAAUUCCCGGUGUAGCGGUGAAAUGCGUAGAUAUCGCUUGGAACGCCAAAGGUGAAAACAGACAGCUGGGAGUGUGCUGACGCUGAGACACGAAAGCCAGGGGAGCGAACGGG